This 240-nucleotide non-coding RNA is filed under the name Caldanaerobacter subterraneus subsp. tengcongensis. RNAcentral also lists the same sequence under 1 other name. Lineage: Bacteria; Bacillati; Bacillota; Clostridia; Thermoanaerobacterales; Thermoanaerobacteraceae. The record is from RNAcentral.
UGAAUAUUAAAGCCUUAUGGUCCCAUGAUGGGUUAAAAGGGAAGACGGGUGAGAAUCCCGCGCAGCCCCCGCUACUGUGAGGGAGGACGAAGCCCUAGUAAGCCACUGUCCGGCACUCAACUGAGCGCGUUAGUAAGGAGAAAAGAGGGAGAGAAAUUGCGUUCAGUUGAGUGCCGGGUGGGAAGGCAGGGUGGAGGAUGAGUCCCGAGCCAGGAGACCUGCCAUAAGGUUUUAGAAGUU